UACGUAGGGUGCAAGCGUUGUCCGGAAUUAUUGGGCGUAAAGAGCUCGUAGGCGGUUUGUUGCGUCGGCUGUGAAAUCCCGAGGCUCAACCUCGGGUCUGCAGUCGAUACGAGCAAACUAGAGUGUUGCAGGGGAGACUGGAAUUCCUGGUGUAGCGGUGAAAUGCGCAGAUAUCAGGGAGGGAACACCGGUGGCGAAGGCGGGUCUCUGGGCAACAACUGACGCUGGAGGAGCGAAAGCCGUGGGGAGCGAACAGGA
RNAcentral lists this ribosomal RNA (258 nucleotides) under uncultured bacterium. Its description in RNAcentral is "partial 16S ribosomal RNA". It matches the Rfam family "Bacterial small subunit ribosomal RNA", at positions 524 to 777 of the family's 1533-position model. The record is from RNAcentral.